Molecule: long non-coding RNA, 572 nt
Organism: Galeopterus variegatus (Sunda flying lemur)
Lineage: Eukaryota; Metazoa; Chordata; Mammalia; Dermoptera; Cynocephalidae
Exons: 4
Source: RefSeq, a predicted model, not a curated record
AGGCACAGUUACAGAGAGCGCUGGCCAGCGCUCACCAUGUGGUCUGGUGGAAAGCAGGGGAGUGUGAACAUCUGGUAGCUGCCUGCGCUCAUGUGAGCAGCAGGAAAAAAAGCUGCAGUGGAGUCUGACCACCUUCUCCACGUGGCAGGAAGAGGCUGAGAGGGAACAACUAUGAGGACCUCAAGUAUCACUAGUCCCAACUGAAGGGGAAGCUUUGGGUCCUUGUGAUGGAGAAGGUGGACUUGCAGCUCCAGAUGAAAAAGCUGAAGACAUCCAAGCUCCUGCCACAACAACUGCUGCAGGACAUACAGAAAUGCCAGGAACACCAAGGCUUCAGCAACAGCCCUUGCUUCCCAUUGUUUUAUCGACCAGAAAAGUAUGGUGAUAUUAAGAUCAUGGACAUUUGAGAUGUGGGGCCCAGGACGCUGCCCCCUCCCAGUUCCUGCUACCUUGUCUCUGUCACGCUGUCCCAGCCACUUCUUCCCAAUCAUCUCUUUAUCAUAAGACCACUCUUCUUUAAAAAAAAAAAGAAAGAAAGAAAGAAAGAAAGAAAGAAAGAAAGAAAGAAAGAA